GCGCGCGUGGCGGAAUUGGUAGACGCGCUAGCUUGAGGGGCUAGUGGGCUUCGGCCCGUGGAAGUUCAAGUCUUCUCGUGCGCACCA
Molecule: transfer RNA, 87 nt
Filed under: bacterium
Lineage: Bacteria
Description: tRNA-Leu
Rfam family: tRNA
About the family: Transfer RNA (tRNA) molecules are approximately 80 nucleotides in length. Their secondary structure includes four short double-helical elements and three loops (D, anti-codon, and T loops).
Source: RNAcentral